This 256-nucleotide ribosomal RNA is filed under the name uncultured archaeon. RNAcentral describes it as "partial 16S ribosomal RNA". It matches the Rfam family "Archaeal small subunit ribosomal RNA", at positions 748 to 1001 of the family's 1478-position model. The record is from RNAcentral.
CAGCCGUAAACAAUGUGCGUUAGGUGUGUCGGUAACCACGUGUUACUGAUGCGCCGAAGAGAAAUCGGUGAAACGCACCACCUGGGAAGUACGGUCGCAAGGCUGAAACUUAAAGGAAUUGGCGGGGGAGCACCACAACAGGUGGAGCCUGCGGUUUAAUUGGAUUCAACGCCGGACAUCUCACCGGAUAAGACAGCCUGAAUGAUUGUCAAUCUGAAGGUUUACAAUGACUAGCUGAGAGGUGGUGCAUGGCGUC